GAUGAACGCUGGCGGCGUGCCUCAAACAUGCAAGUCGAGCGGGGCUAUGUAAUAUCGCAAGGUAGAACAUAGCCUAGCGGCGAACGGGUGAGUAACACGUGGGUAACCUGCCUGGAAGACAGGGAGUAACGAUUCGAAAGGGUCGGCUAAUACCUGAUAAUAUCCUUUCAUCGCAUGGUGAUAGGAAGAAAGGGGAAACCCGGCUUUCAGAUGGGCCCGCGUCCCAUCAGCUAGUUGGUAAGGUAAAGGCUUACCAAGGCGACGACGGGUAGCCGGUCUGAGAGGAUGUACGGCCACACUGGGACUGAGAUACGGCCCAGACUCCUACGGGAGGCAGCAGUUGGGAAUCUUAGGCAAUGGACGAAAGUCUGACCUAGCGACGCCGCGUGAGGGAAGAAGGCCUUCGGGUUGUAAACCUCUGUCAUGGGGAAGAAGUAAGUGACGGUACCCAAGAGGAAGCCCCUGCUAACUACGUG
RNAcentral lists this ribosomal RNA (476 nucleotides) under uncultured bacterium. Its description in RNAcentral is "bacterial SSU rRNA". It matches the Rfam family "Bacterial small subunit ribosomal RNA", at positions 28 to 507 of the family's 1533-position model. The record is from RNAcentral.